GACGAACGCUGGCGGCGUGCCUAAUACAUGCAAGUCGAACGCUUCUUUCCUCCCGAGUGCUUGCACUCGAUUGGAACGAGGAGUGGCGGACGGGUGAGUAACACGUCGGUAACCUACCCAUCAGCGUGGGAUAACACUUGGAAACAGGUGCUAAUACCGCAUAACAGUUUAUGCCGCAUGGCAUAAGAGUGAUAGGCGCUCUCGGGUGUCGUUGAUGGCUGGACCCGCGGUGCAUUAGCUAGUUGGUGAGGUAACGGCUCACCAAGGCCACGAUGCAUAGCCGACCUGAGAGGGUGAUCGGCCACACUGGAACUGAGACACGGCCCAGACUCCUACGGGAGGCAGCAGUAGGGAAUCUUCGGCAAUGGACGAAAGUCUGACCGAGCAACGCCGCGUGAGUGAAGAAGGUGUUCGGAUCGUAAAACUCUGUUGUUAGAGAAGAACAAGUACGUUAGUAACUGAACGUCCCCUGACGGUACCUAACCAGAAAGCCACGGCUAACUACGUG
RNAcentral lists this ribosomal RNA (508 nucleotides) under uncultured bacterium. RNAcentral describes it as "partial 16S ribosomal RNA". It matches the Rfam family "Bacterial small subunit ribosomal RNA", at positions 28 to 507 of the family's 1533-position model. The record is from RNAcentral.